Cydia pomonella (codling moth) is the source of this 132-nucleotide long non-coding RNA. RefSeq lists it as uncharacterized. The record is from RefSeq and is a predicted model, not a curated record. The transcript is spliced from 3 exons. Lineage: Eukaryota; Metazoa; Arthropoda; Insecta; Lepidoptera; Tortricidae.
AUCUAUUUAAUAUGUUUUAGAAACACCCACCACAAAUGCCGGGAAAAACUGAAGAAGAAGUCAAAGACACAGCAGAAAAAGCCGCUGAUCUCAUGCAUACGAAAGAGGUACCUUCUUAAAAAUAUUUUUCUG